This 402-nucleotide ribosomal RNA is filed under the name Fusobacteriota bacterium. RNAcentral's name for it is "Fusobacteria bacterium partial 16S ribosomal RNA". It matches the Rfam family "Bacterial small subunit ribosomal RNA", at positions 355 to 776 of the family's 1533-position model. The record is from RNAcentral. Lineage: Bacteria; Fusobacteriati; Fusobacteriota.
UGGGGAAUAUUGCACAAUGGGGGAAACCCUGAUGCAGCGACGCCGCGUGAGCGAAGAAGGUUUUCGAAUCGUAAAGCUCUGUCCUAUGGGAAGAUAAUGACGGUACCAUAGGAGGAAGCCCCGGCUAACUACGUGCCAGCAGCCGCGGUAAUACGUAGGGGGCAAGCGUUGUCCGGAAUCACUGGGCGUAAAGGGUUCGCAGGCGGAAAUGCAAGUCAGUUGUGAAAGGCAGAGGCUCAACCUCUGUAGCAAUUGAAACUGUAUUUCUUGAGAUGUGGAGAGGCAAGUGGAAUUCCUAGUGUAGCGGUGAAAUGCGUAGAUAUUAGGAAGAAUACCGGUGGCGAAGGCGACUUGCUGGACACAAACUGACGCUGAGGAACGAAAGCGUGGGUAGCAAACAGG